AUGGGCUGUCUGGAGGGAUACAGGCUGAUGGGCUGUCUGAAGGGAUACAGGCUGGUGGGCUGUCUGGAGGGAUACAGGCUGGUGGGCUGGCUGUGGAGAUACAGGCUGAUGGGCUGGCUGUGGAGAAACAGGCUGAUGGGCUGUCUGGAGGGAUACAGGCUGAUGGGCUGUCUGGAGGGAUACAGGCUGAUGGGCUGUCUGGAGGGAUACAGGCUGAUGGGCUGUCUGGAGGGAUACAGGCUGAUGGGCUGUCUGGAGGGAUACAGGCUGAUGGGCUGUCUGGAGGGAUACAGGCUGAUGGGCUGUCUGGAGGGAUACAGGCUGAUGGGCUGUCUGGAGGGAUACAGGCUGAUGGGCUGUCUGGAGGGAUACAGGCUGGGGGGGAUACAGGCUGAUGGGCUGGCUGUGGGGAUACAGGCUGAUGGGCUGUCUGGAGGGAUACAGGCUGAUGGGCUGUCUGGAGGGAUACAGGCUGAUGGGCUGUCUGGAGGGAUACAGGCUGAUGGGCUGUCUGGAGGGAUACAGGCUGAUGGGCUGUCUGGAGGGAUACAGGCUGAUGGGCUGUCUGGAGGGAUACAGGCUGAUGGGCUGUCUGGAGGGAUACAGGCUGAUGGGCUGUCUGGAGGGAUACAGGCUGAUGGGCUGUCUGGAGGGAUACAGGCUGAUGGGCUGUCUGGAGGGAUACAGGCUGAUGGGCUGGCUGGGGGGAUACAGGCUGGUGGGCUGGCUGGGGGGAUACAGGGUGGUGGUCUAGCUGGGGGGAUACAGGCUGAGGGGAUACAGGCUGAGAGGAUACGUGCUGACGGGCUGGCUGAGGGGAUACAGGCUGACGGGAUACAGGCUGAUGGGCUGGCUGGAGGGAUACAGGCUGACGGGCUGGCUGGAGGGAUACAGGCUGAUGGGCUGGCUGUGGAGAAACAGGCUGAUGGGCUGUCUGGAGGGAUACAGGCUGAUGGGCUGUCUGGAGGGAUACAGGCUGAUGGGCUGUCUGGAGGGAUACAGGCUGAUGGGCUGUCUGGAGGGAUACAGGCUGAUGGGCUGUCUGGAGGGAUACAGGCUGAUGGGCUGUAUGGAGGGAUACAGGCUGAUGGGCUGUCUGGAGGGAUACAGGCUGAUGGGCUGUCUGGAGGGAUACAGGCUGAUGGGCUGUCUGGAGGGAUACAGGCUGAUGGGCUGGCUGGGGGGAUACAGACUGGGAGGCCUGGGGGUUGGCUGUGGAGAUACAGGCUGGUGGUCUAG
This 1239-nucleotide long non-coding RNA is filed under the name Oncorhynchus mykiss (rainbow trout). Its description in RNAcentral is "lncRNA (ENSOMYG00000074806.1)". The record is from RNAcentral. Lineage: Eukaryota; Metazoa; Chordata; Actinopteri; Salmoniformes; Salmonidae.